GGUGAGCAGUAGGAUAUUUUGUUGUUGUGUCGGUACAAUUUCCUUUAUAUAAUUGUAUCUGUGUUGUUGCUUUGGAGAAGAAACAUAGAAGAGAGAAUUUUGAGGAAAUAGAACAGAAAUAUUAGAGAACAGAAAGAAAGCCGCGACACAUAGAGGGCUGAGUUUGUUUGAUGCACAAAGGGUCCAGAUUAUUAUUUUACAGUUUUCAGGUACCGAGGAUGAGCUUGGAUUGAUAGUAGCGGGCUAGGAGGAAGAGUAGGAGUUGAGGAAUUAAAUUAUUUUAUCUAGAGAUUUUUAUGUAUUUAUUUAAGGAAAUUGAUUUAGUAUCAAUUUAAUUAAUUUGAGAUGUUGUCUUAUUCAUUUGAGGAAAUUUGAUUGAUUUUGAGA
This is a long non-coding RNA of Cornus florida, 387 nucleotides long. RefSeq lists it as uncharacterized. NCBI's taxonomy places the organism in Eukaryota, Viridiplantae, Streptophyta, Magnoliopsida, Cornales, Cornaceae. The transcript is spliced from 2 exons. The record is from RefSeq and is a predicted model, not a curated record.